This 110-nucleotide unclassified non-coding RNA is filed under the name Chryseobacterium wanjuense. RNAcentral describes it as "Flavo-1 RNA". The record is from RNAcentral. Lineage: Bacteria; Pseudomonadati; Bacteroidota; Flavobacteriia; Flavobacteriales; Weeksellaceae.
AUCUAGCCCUGAUUGAACGGCAUGUUUGAGCUCAUUUUUUGUUUUUGGCGAAGCGGCUCCGCCGCUUCGCCAAAAACAAAAAAUAGCGAGUAGUGAAAGCAGGUUCCCGG